Molecule: ribosomal RNA, 397 nt
Filed under: uncultured bacterium
Lineage: Bacteria
Description: bacterial SSU rRNA
Rfam family: Bacterial small subunit ribosomal RNA
Source: RNAcentral
AACGAACGCUGGCGGCGCGCCUAAUACAUGCAAGUCGAGCGAGAAGGCGUAGCAAUACGUUUGUAAAGCGGCGAACGGGUGAGGAAUACAUGGGUAACCUACCCUCGAGUGGGGAAUAACUAGCCGAAAGGUUAGCUAAUACCGCGUACGCUCCUUGGACUUCGGUUCAGGGAGGAAAGCGAUACCGUGGGUAUCGCGCUCUUGGAUGGGCUCAUGUCCUAUCAGCUUGUUGGUGAGGUAACGGCUCACCAAGGCUUCGACGGGUAGCUGGUCUGGGAGGACAAUCAGCCACACUGGCACUGCGACACGGGCCAGACUCCUACGGGAGGCAGCAGUAAGGAAUAUUGCGCAAUGGGCGAAAGCCUGAACGCAGCGACGCCGCGUGGGGGAUGAAGGU